AAGAAGAAGAAGAAGAAGAAGAAGAAGAAGAAGAACUCAUCACAGGGACCGCUUCGUCUCUCUACCGGGUAAGAAUUUUCUGGGGACCGCUUCGUCUCUCUACCGGGUAAGAAUUUUCUGGGUCGAUCGACCUUUGUCCUUGGGAUGGAAGUCUCUCUCUGUUCUUUUUUGGGACAAUUUGAGUCUGGUUGUGUCGAGAAGGUGAUACUGUGGAAGCAGCAGUGAGCGAACUGAAGGAAAAUGGGCUCCAAUCCUAAAGUCCCUUUCUUUGAUGAGGUCGCCAAGCACAACAGCCGCACCGAUUGCUGACUUAUUAUCUCUGGUAAGGCGCUGUCCGUGUAGCUUGCUAUAUCACUCGUCGAUGCGUGUUUACUGAGGCUAUGGUUCUGAAGAUGCAUUGUCCUUUUUUUUUUCCUGAUGAUUGAGGUUCUGUUUCUUUGCCCUUUACCGUUUGGAUGAGAAUGCUCUCAACUUGUCAGUAGAAAAGGAUCUUGCUGGGUUGCCAUAUCUCCACGUGUAGCUUCUUCCUUCGAAUUUGCUUGGUAACCUUCCUGCCUUGAGGCGCGAGGCCCAUUGAGCAUCAGCUAAGCUACUUGCAAUUGUUUUGCCAUUGUCACUUUCUAUCUUGGGCUUCUGUUCUUGACUUUUCCUUUUCAAAUUCGUUGCAUCUUGUAAUGACUAAACUACAUAUAUCAGCUAGAGGAUGUCAAAGGACUUCGGGCAAGCCUCUUCAUACUUAUAUGUUAUUUUCCGUAUUCUCCUCAUGAUUAAAGCUGCUAUUGGUACCGGCGUGAGCUUUUGGAACUCCAGGAGGAGCUUUUAUUUGGGAGGGUGAAAAGAAUUUAUGUCCCUGACGAGUUCCUUUUGGUUGCUCUGGUCGAGUAACCUGUUCACCUAUUAAUGCAAAAAUUAGAUUUCCCUUUCAGCAUAUUGCAUUAAGCGUUACUGGCCUUUGCAAACCUGAACGUUUUUAAUCACUGCGGUAAAUAUCAUGGAGAAUUCUCGGCCCUUUUAGUACAUUCAGUCCUCCAGGUUCACUAACCCGAUGUUUGAGCAUGCGUGCCCAUUAUAGUUGCCUAUUGUUCCAACAGGAACUUUUCUAAAUAAUCUAGAAAAUGGAGGGAUGCUUCCUUAACAAGUCGACAGUGUUAUAAAUAUGAGAUAGAAAUGAAAAAUAUAUCUCUUUCUUUAUUCUUUUUUCCUUUCUGUUUUGUUUGUCUGGACAAAACAAGUUCUCCUUUCUGUCAUGAUUCUUGAGAUCUUUUCCUUUGCAAAAGGGACUUUAGUCAGAGAAUGACAUGGAAUGAAAACUCCUUGAUGGCUUUCUGCAUAUAUACAUGAAUUAUUUUACGGGUUCAUUAUGGACCAUAUACAAUUACAACGCCUUGUAUCCAAUUUUUUCUUCUUCCAAUGUUUUUUUAUUUGUUGAUGAGUUAGUUGAUCACCAUUAAAGAUGCAUUAAACAUUAUGAUGCAUAUUCUGGCACAUAGCAUGUGGAAAUUUAACUGUUUUCUUUUGGGAUUAUAUAAAUGGCGAGUGGCAUUGUCUCAGGUCUAUGAUGUAACUCCUUUUCUGGAGGAUCAUCUUGGAGGGGAUGAAUUCCUGCUAAACAACACGGGUGAAACGAAUAUUAGUCCCUUAAAAUUCACACUGAUGUGACCACAGAAAUUGUUAUUUAUCAAUUGCACUGUCUUGAUUGUGCAGGGAAAGAUGCUACUCAUGAUUUUGAAUUUUGAAUUUUUUUUGGUGAAACGAUUUUGAAGAUGUUGGUCAUAGCGAUUCUGCAAAAGAGAUGAUGGAGAAGUAUUAUAUUGGCAAAGUCGACAGCUCCACUCUUCCAGCAAAGAGGGCGUGCACAAGUUCUCUUUGGCCCUGAAAUUGAGAAUUCUUGCAGAAAUCAUCCCCAAGGCAUUAUGUUCCAGGAAAGUGAAAGCAAGAAUUGGUGAUUGGAUUUGAGCGUGUGAUGCCUUAAUUUUCGGACGUGGCUGCACAUGCACCUUCUGUGGCAUCAUUUGUUCUACAUGAAAAUUUUCUCAAGUGUUAUGGGGCUAUGAGUGUGUGGAUCUGGUGAAGUUGUGCUUGAAGAUAGUCUUGUUGAGGUAGAUUGGAAAUGUGUAGGUAAUAAGCAAUCUAAAUGACAGUUAUAGAUAGAUGAGAGGAUAAUAUCUGAGUAGGCUUCAUGAACUAAAUCAAAAUUGGUUGUGCAACCAGUUUCGAUGGCAGUUAAAAGCUUUAUUUUGCCAAUCAGCUUUAGGAUGUGAGUUGAUCCUCUUUCCAAUGGAUUUAUCCCAAAGGGGCGUCCUGUCAGUUCAUAUUGAAAUAUGAAUGUCUAAUCACAAGUUAAAACUCAGGGGAAUUGGAACUGGUCCUUUAACGGCAAUGGAAUGAAACUUUACACGGGUAUCUUAGCUGGAUCACCCGUCAAUGUUUACGAAUAUAGGUAAUUAUCAAGUUAAACCAUGGCUGGUUUCUCUUGAUAACCGAAGUUCUAGACCAAGAAUUCAAGGGCAAUUUUCCCCUGUGAAUGAAUGCAAAAUCACAUCUCUCCUUAGGAUAACAUAAGUAACCUGCAUGAAUAUGGCAGCAGCAGAAGUUUAUGC
Molecule: long non-coding RNA, 2600 nt
Organism: Eucalyptus grandis
Lineage: Eukaryota; Viridiplantae; Streptophyta; Magnoliopsida; Myrtales; Myrtaceae
Exons: 3
Source: RefSeq, a predicted model, not a curated record